Molecule: ribosomal RNA, 253 nt
Filed under: uncultured bacterium
Lineage: Bacteria
Description: partial 16S ribosomal RNA
Rfam family: Bacterial small subunit ribosomal RNA
Source: RNAcentral
UACGUAGGGGGCAAGCGUUGUCCGGAUUUACUGGGCGUAAAGAGCGUGUAGGCGGCCAAACAGGUCCGUUGUGAAAACUGGAGGCUCAACCUCCAGACGUCGACGGAAACCGUGUGGCUAGAGUCCGGAAGAGGAGAGUGGAAUUCCUGGUGUAGCAGUGAAAUGCGUAGAUAUCAGGAGGAACACCGAUGGCGAAGGCAGGUCUCUGGGCUGACACUGACGCUCAUGCACGAAAGCGUGGGGAGCAAACAGG